GUGGGGAAUCUUGCGCAAUGGGCGAAAGCCUGACGCAGCCAUGCCGCGUGAAUGAUGAAGGUCUUAGGAUUGUAAAAUUCUUUCACCGGGGACGAUAAUGACGGUACCCGGAGAAGAAGCUCCGGCUAACUUCGUGCCAGCAGCCGCGGUAAUACGAAGGGGGCUAGCGUUGCUCGGAAUUACUGGGCGUAAAGGGCGCGUAGGCGGACAGCUUAGUCAGAGGUGAAAGCCCAGGGCUCAACCUUGGAAUUGCCUUUGAUACUGGCUGUCUUGAGUGUGGGAGAGGGGAGUGGAACUCCGAGUGUAGAGGUGAAAUUCGUAGAUAUUCGGAAGAACACCAGUGGCGAAGGCGACUCACUGGCCCAAUACUGACGCUGAGGCGCGAAAGCGUGGGGAGCAAACAGGAUUAGAUACCCUAGUAGUCC
Molecule: ribosomal RNA, 425 nt
Filed under: uncultured bacterium
Lineage: Bacteria
Description: partial 16S ribosomal RNA
Rfam family: Bacterial small subunit ribosomal RNA
Source: RNAcentral